CUACGGGAGGCUGCAGUGGGGAAUAUUGGACAAUGGGCGAAAGCCUGAUCCAGCCAUGCCGCGUGUGUGAAGAAGGCCUUCGGGUUGUAAAGCACUUUCAGUGGGGAAGAAAGCCUUGGGGCUAAUACCCUCGAGGAAGGACAUCACCCACAGAAGAAGCACCGGCUAACUCCGUGUCAGCAGCCGCGGUAAUACGGAGGGUGCGAGCGUUAAUCGGAAUUACUGGGCGUAAAGCGCGCGUAGGCGGUCUGAUAAGCCGGUUGUGAAAGCCCCGGGCUCAACCUGGGAACGGCAUCCGGAACUGUCAGGCUAGAGUGCAGGAGAGGAAGGUAGAAUUCCCGGUGUAGCGGUGAAAUGCGUAGAGAUCGGGAGGAAUACCAGUGGCGAAGGCGGCCUUCUGGACUGACACUGACGCUGAGGUGCGAAAGCGUGGGUAGCAAACAGGAUUAGAUACCCGUGUAGUC
RNAcentral lists this ribosomal RNA (464 nucleotides) under Vreelandella stevensii. Its description in RNAcentral is "partial 16S ribosomal RNA". It matches the Rfam family "Bacterial small subunit ribosomal RNA", at positions 339 to 795 of the family's 1533-position model. The record is from RNAcentral. Lineage: Bacteria; Pseudomonadati; Pseudomonadota; Gammaproteobacteria; Oceanospirillales; Halomonadaceae.